CUAACUCUCCUAUUUACAUUAAUUCUUAUGGGGAAAUUGGAUUCGCUUAAGUGAACAUGGUUUCGCUUAAAGUUGCAUUUUUCAAGAACAUAACUACAAUGUUAAGCGAGGAGUUACUGUAUGUCUCUAUUGCUCCAUUAUACCAAGGUGAUAAUGUGUUUGAAUGUGUUUAAUAUAAGAUGUGUUUGAGUCUAUCCCUGGACAGGAAGAAACACAUUGUAAACAAGCUGUUCAACUUCACUGCAUUCAUCUGUGGAAAUAUCUUUGAAGAAAUAUAUCAGGGUGUUCCAAAUGAGUAUAAUGUGAAGAGCCCUGUAUAAGUAUGAAGACAUCGGAGCCAGAGCCAAAAAGUAUCACCUACAGUUUCCUGUGAUCAUUAUCUGCAUGGAUCAGGUAUAAGGCAGUUUUGCUGUAGCUCACGAAGAAGAGAAUCUCAGUUUUCUGACAGAGUUUUUGAAGAAGAUCCUACCUUUGGAUAAACUCUGCAACAUGUCACAGAGCCACAUGAUCUCCAGCUUUUAAACAGUCUCUUGAAGGAACCCCUUCAAUGUUGCAACCCCAAAGCAAUGCCAGUCUUCCUUCAUGGGAGGCCCUGGAGCCUCACUGCCUCCUAGACUGGAGCAUCUGGGUUUCAGAACUCCUGUUUCACAUUGUGAGCUCUGCCAGCAAGUCCAACUGAAAUUGAUUCCUGGUAGAAAACUGUACACUCUUUAGAGACUACUGAGCCUUAGCAAAUAUUUGCUGUGAUGUUUCACUCCAUAUGUUUUAUGGAAAUAUGCUAAUGAGUGUGAACAUAACAUAACUGGAAUAUGCUUCAUGCAAAAGUUCUCCUGUAAGG
Dermochelys coriacea (leatherback sea turtle) is the source of this 838-nucleotide long non-coding RNA. RefSeq lists it as uncharacterized. Lineage: Eukaryota; Metazoa; Chordata; Testudines; Dermochelyidae. The record is from RefSeq and is a predicted model, not a curated record. The transcript has 3 exons.